RNAcentral lists this ribosomal RNA (467 nucleotides) under uncultured bacterium. RNAcentral describes it as "partial 16S ribosomal RNA". It matches the Rfam family "Bacterial small subunit ribosomal RNA", at positions 28 to 507 of the family's 1533-position model. The record is from RNAcentral.
GACGAACGCUGGCGGCGUGCUUAACACAUGCAAGUCGAACGGAAAGGCCUCUUUCGGGGGGUACUCGAGUGGCGAACGGGUGAGUAACACGUGAGUAACCUGCCCUUGACUUUGGGAUAACUUCUGGAAACUGGGGCUAAUACCGGAUAGGAGCUCCUGCUGCAUGGUGGGGGUUGGAAAGUUUCGGCGGUUGGGGAUGGACUUGCGGCUUAUCAGCUUGUUGGUGGGGUAUUGGCUUACCAAGGCUUUGGCGGGUAGCCGGCCUGGGAGGGUGACCGGCCACAUUGGGACUGAGAUACGGCCCAGACUCCUACGGGAGGCAGCAGUGGGGAAUAUUGCACAAUGGGUGGAAGCCUGAUGCAGCACCGCCGUGGGCGGGAUGACGGCCUUCGGGUUGUAAACCGCUUUCGCUCAUGACGAAGCUUUGUGUGACGGUAGUGGGUAAAGAAGCACCGGCUAACUACGUG